This 253-nucleotide ribosomal RNA is filed under the name uncultured bacterium. RNAcentral describes it as "partial 16S ribosomal RNA". It matches the Rfam family "Bacterial small subunit ribosomal RNA", at positions 524 to 776 of the family's 1533-position model. The record is from RNAcentral.
UACGUAGGGUGCAAGCGUUAAUCGGAAUUACUGGGCGUAAAGCGUGCGCAGGCGGUUUUGUAAGUCAGAUGUGAAAUCCCCGGGCUUAACCUGGGAACUGCGUUUGAAACUACAAGGCUAGAGUGUGGCAGAGGGGGGUGGAAUUCCACGUGUAGCAGUGAAAUGCGUAGAGAUGUGGAGGAACACCGAUGGCGAAGGCAGCCCCCUGGGUUAACACUGACGCUCAGGCGCGAAAGCGUGGGGAGCAAACAGG